GACGAACCGUGCAAACGUUGUUCGGAAUCACUGGGCUUAAAGGGCGCGUAGGCGGCUUAUCAAGUCGGGGGUGAAAUACUUCAGCUUAACUGGAGAAGUGCCUUCGAUACUGGUGAGCUUGAGGGAGGUAGGGGUCUGUGGAACUUCUGGUGGAGCGGUGAAAUGCGUUGAUAUCAGAAGGAACGCCGGUGGCGAAAGCGACGGACUGGACCUCUUCUGACGCUGAGGCGCGAAAGCUAGGGGAGCAAACGGG
Molecule: ribosomal RNA, 253 nt
Filed under: uncultured bacterium
Lineage: Bacteria
Description: partial 16S ribosomal RNA
Rfam family: Bacterial small subunit ribosomal RNA
Source: RNAcentral